GUCGGGAAUAUUGCUCAAUGGGCGCAAGCCUGAAGCAGCAACGCCGCGUGCGCGAUGAAGGCCUUCGGGUCGUAAAGCGCUUUUUGGUGGGAUGAGGAAGGACAGUACCGCCAGAAUAAGGAACGGCUAACUACGUGCCAGCAGCCGCGGUAAAACGUAGGUUCCGAGCGUUAUCCGGAUUUACUGGGCGUAAAGCGCGUGCAGGCGGCUCCGCAAGUCGGGCAUUAAAUCUCCGGGCUUAACUCGGAGGCGCUGUCCGAUACUGUGGGGCUUGAGGACGGGAGAGGGUGGUGGAAUUCCGCAUGUAGUGGUGAAAUGCGUAGAGAUGCGGAGGAACACCAGUGGCGAAAGCGGCCACCUGGCCCGCUCCUGACGCUCAGACGCGAAAGCUCGGGGAGCGAACGGGAUUAGAAACCCGAGUAGUCC
Molecule: ribosomal RNA, 426 nt
Filed under: uncultured bacterium
Lineage: Bacteria
Description: bacterial SSU rRNA
Rfam family: Bacterial small subunit ribosomal RNA
Source: RNAcentral